RNAcentral lists this transfer RNA (67 nucleotides) under Sipunculus nudus (marine worm). RNAcentral describes it as "tRNA-Met". Lineage: Eukaryota; Metazoa; Annelida; Sipuncula; Golfingiida; Sipunculidae. The record is from RNAcentral.
GGCAAGAAUCAGCUAAAAAAGCUAUUGGGCUCAUACCCCGAACAAUGAGGCCGCCCCUCUCUUCCCA